UAAGUGGAAAAGGAUGUGGGGUUGCACAGACAACUAGGAUGUUAGCUCAGAAGCAGCUAUCAUUCAAAGAGUGCGUAAUAGCUCACUAGUCGAGUGACCCUGCGCCGAAAAUGUACCGGGGCUAAACAUAUUACCGAAGCUUUGGAUUGAUAUUUUAUCAAUGGUAGGAGAGCGUUCUUAACCGCGAUGAAGGUAUACCGUGAGGAGUGCUGGAGCGUUAAGAAGUGAGAAUGCCGGUAUGAGUAGCGCAAGAUAAGUGAGAAUCUUAUCCACCGUAAGACUAAGGUUUCCAGGGGAAGGCUCGUCCGCCCUGGGUUAGUCGGGACCUAAGGCGAGGCCGAAAGGCGUAGUCGAUGGACAACUGGUUGAUAUUCCAGUACUAGAUAUGAUCGUGAUGGAGGGACGCAGUAGGCUAAGAGAUGCCAGUUAAUGGAUUCUGGUCUAAGCAGUGAGGUGUGAGAUGUGUCAAAUGCAUUUCUCUUUAACAUUGAGCUGUGAUGGGGAAGCAACUACGGUUGCGAACUCUCUGAUGUCACACUGCCAAGAAAAGCUUCUAGCGUAAAGUCAUAUCUACCCGUACCGCAAACCGACACAGGUAGUCGAGGCGAGUAGCCUCAGGUGAUCGAGAGAACUCUCGUUAAGGAACUCGGCAAAAUAGCCCCGUAACUUCGGGAGAAGGGGUGCUGGUGUAAAAGCCAGCCGCAGUGAAUAGGCCCAAGCAACUGUUUAUCAAAAACACAGCUCUCUGCUAAACCGCAAGGUGAUGUAU
This 769-nucleotide ribosomal RNA is filed under the name Listeria monocytogenes. RNAcentral's name for it is "partial 23S ribosomal RNA". It matches the Rfam family "Bacterial large subunit ribosomal RNA", at positions 1060 to 1846 of the family's 2925-position model. Lineage: Bacteria; Bacillati; Bacillota; Bacilli; Caryophanales; Listeriaceae. The record is from RNAcentral.